Molecule: long non-coding RNA, 1123 nt
Organism: Herpailurus yagouaroundi (jaguarundi)
Lineage: Eukaryota; Metazoa; Chordata; Mammalia; Carnivora; Felidae
Exons: 4
Source: RefSeq, a predicted model, not a curated record
GCCGGGGCGCGGGGGGGCGCAAACUCGGCGCCGUCGGGGCUGCAGCUUCCGACCCCAAACGGGAGGGUGUCCCGGCCCCCGAGUGGUGUCCGCCUUCCUCCUCGACGUGCACGGGAAAAUGUCCUCGCUGGUGAAAUGUGACGUGACCUCCAGUUAAGAUCGCCACGGGAAAGUUUUCAAUGCCGCUGCUCGCAAACUUUGAUGCCGUAGCCUGAUGUUACAUUUCUGUCUCCUUUUAAGGAUAAGCUCGUUAUACGAGGACGUUUUCUUUUUAAAAUGAUUUUUGCAUUAUCUGGUUCAAAUAGGAGAUUUUUAAGCUAAUCUUGGAUGAUUUUUAAGUGCAUGCUAAUUGGAGUGACGUUAUGUAAACCUGUGUGAACUGUUCACAGUAAAUGUUGAGGCCUUCAAAAUACAAGGCGUUGAUUCCAUGCCAGUGAGGGACACGGAAGAUGUCUGUUCCGUGCCUGUGAGGGACAAAGAAGAUGUUUCUUCUGAAUACAAUUGACUCAGUUACCUGAGUUGUGUCUGAAAUGGAAAGCUUACGGCAAUAAAAAUAACCCUUCUGGAUACUGUGUAUACAUUAUCUCUUUUCAUCCUUAUGAGGCUGAUACUGGCAUCCCCGUUGCACAGAUGAGAAAGCCACAUCUUCGCGUUAAUGGCCUGCUUCAGUCGGACCUAUGCCGAGCAGUUCACAUGGACUAUCUUGCUUCGCAUCACAAUAUCCCUGAAAGAUGGCUACCAUAUUAAAGAUGGCGACACCAAGGGUGAAGAUCCCCAAAUGGUUGUUCUAAGAGGAAAAGUAGCUUUUCUACAGUUGAGCCCUAAAGGCUGUCCUGAGGUUCUGCCUCAGAAUCUCACUCGGGAUUUUUCAUUUCUUCCCUCUGCUGUGUCCCAAGGACUGGCCUGCUCUCCUCCCUCUUGAAGGAGGCAUCGUCCACCCACGGGGUGAGGAGAGGUGUUGUGAAGGCGGCUGGAGCAUCCCCAUCUCUGUGAUGCCACCUUCCUUGUUAACCUUCAAUACAAUCAUGUAAACUGGGUUUGUUUUUAGUUUCAAGAAUUUCACUGCUGACGUAUGAGGAAAGAGAUGGGAUAAUAAAAUUAACAAAUGGGGUUAUUAUACACA